Oxyura jamaicensis (ruddy duck) is the source of this 2095-nucleotide long non-coding RNA. RefSeq lists it as uncharacterized. NCBI's taxonomy places the organism in Eukaryota, Metazoa, Chordata, Aves, Anseriformes, Anatidae. The record is from RefSeq and is a predicted model, not a curated record. The transcript has 4 exons.
CCAGCCUCAGUCCCGAGGCCUUGAGGACUUCGGUUCUAGCAGUGGCAAUACCCCAUUAUGGGGCUACACAGCUACACAGAUCACAGAUGAACUGUGUUAAAGGUUACCAUAACUGAAAUAAGUGUAGCGACACAUGAAUGUCUUCCCUCUGAGAAAUGCGCUGUACCAUUUUAUCAUCUGGUGCAAUAAGAUGCCAUCAUACAGUGAGAUCAUCCUUCUGAUCCUGUCCAGUGGCAGCAUGGACAUCUCCAGCCCUCUGCUAGCUGAUUUUUAGGGAUGGACCUCUGCUUUAAGGGGCUAAAAAUAAGUUCGUCUCUUCAAAUGAGAAGGGAGUAAAAGCAUGAACAUUAUGAUCAGUUGGAAUAUUAGUAGUUCUUAUCCAGAAGAGUACAUCAUGGCAAAACUAAUGCAGUACCCCAAGAAGUAAGUGUGAGGAGUGCUAUGCUUUUCUAACUUAUACUGGAGAGAGUAAACUUCUUCUAGAUUGUCUUUCAGAACAGCAGACAGUUCCAGUCCCAGUAUUUUGAGAUAAGUUCCUUUCUGAAAUUCUCUUAGAAUUGGUAACCAUAGUUGAAAUUAUUUUUUUCCAAAUCUAUUUCUGAAAGGCAGUUUCUUCUAAGUUACACUGAGCUGACUGUGUUUUAUAUUAGUGAAAGUUCUUUUAUUCUUCCUGAUUCUUGAAGAAUAUUGUUCUAAGACAGAAAGAAACAGCAUACAGAUCAAAUAGAGUCAGUUAACUUUCUUGUGUGGACUAGUAUAAGGAACAUCUGUUCCUCCUGGUAGUCUACAUGAUGAUGGGUUUUGAGGGUUUUGAUGUUCCAUACCACUACUUCUGUUUCAUAAUGAGAUAUUUCUGCAUAUUUCUACAGAGUAGGAGAAAUGUAAGUAAAGUUAAAAAAGAAAAAAAAAAAAAAAUUAACACCACAACCCAAAAAAUGUAUUGACAUGGAAACAUUUUUGACACAAAUUCCUGAAGCUAUCAGUAUCUGGAAAUGUUUUCAAUGAAUAUUCAGACAUCAUUGGAGGGUUCUCAGAAAUAAGUCUAAUACCAUUCUAAGCCUAUCUGCUUGUUUAUAAUUCCAGUGUUCGCAUUUUCUGAAAGCUUACUGUUACCUACGCUUUACUUACACUGUUACCUACAUUUUGAAAACUCUGUUUUCUUCAAGCAUCAAGCCAGAUCUCCUCUCAGUAAUUUUGAAACACAAACUGCUAUUCUUGUCCUUUGAGGAGUUUGACUAAAAACUAGAUGUUUCAUGUAAUUAUUUCUGCCUAGUGUCUUAUUCAGGGAAAAAGGAAUAUCAUGUCCUGAGAAAUGAACUACAAAGUGCAUUUUAUGAUAAUGCUUUUAAUUUAGUGUUUCUGUAAAAUUUAUUUCUAACAUUCCAAUAGACUUUUUUCCUUAGAAACUGAAAGUAGCUCAAUUAGAUGUCCAUAGUAUCUCUGAAGAACACUGUCCCAUUUUCUACUGAAUACAUGUUAUGUAAAGCAGUGCUUUAAAUAAUUUCUAAAAUUUUACAUUAUUUCUAAAGAAAAAAAAAAAAAGAAAAAACAUUAGCUGAAUUAGAUCAUAAUUUGUCAUGCGUUGUUGGGAAUUAGUCAUAUGUUUUGUUAUUCUGUUCCAUGGAAAUCUUCAUGCCAAAAGCUUUUCUAAUAAUGAGUGUACUGUAACAUCCUGGUUCUUUUAUUCCAAAUCACACACUUACAUUGCUCUGUCCUGUCACCUCUACAGAAUCUUUCAAUUUUAUAGAAAUUUCUAAAACCAGAAUAACUGUGACCAAAAGGCUUAAUCUUACUUGUAUUUAUAUCAAUAUUGUGAAGAAUCAAAAUGUUGAUCCUUCCGUUCUACUCAGUAGUUCAUCUGCCAAGACAAAUGAUCCACUUAGUUCAUGGAUUAAGCAAUAAUUUAAAUCUUCUUAUUAAUAAUCUGAAUGUAAUUGAUAGCAGUAAUUGUAUAGCAUGAAGUAGUGAAUUAUUGAAUAUAAAAUUUUAAAGAAACUAUAGAUUUUACUGAUGCAAUAACAGCAGUAUCUAUUUUUCCUUGUAAAAUAAAGAACUAUUCUCACUUUUUAUGUGAGAAAUACAAAAUCUUUGAAAA